This 313-nucleotide ribosomal RNA is filed under the name Pharaxonotha floridana. RNAcentral's name for it is "partial 16S large subunit ribosomal RNA". The stretch from base 178 to 313 matches the Rfam family "Bacterial large subunit ribosomal RNA", at positions 2473 to 2608 of the family's 2925-position model. Lineage: Eukaryota; Metazoa; Arthropoda; Insecta; Coleoptera; Erotylidae. The record is from RNAcentral.
GACCCUAUAGAGUUUAAUAUUUUAUUGAUAAAUUAUUUUUUAGAAUUUAAUAUUAAUUUAUUAAUUAAAUAUUUGAUUGGGGUGAUUGAAAAAUUUAAGUAACUUUUUUUAUAUUUAAACAUUAAUUUAUGAUUAUUUGAUCCAUUAUUUAUGAUUAUAAGAUUAAAUUACCUUAGGGAUAACAGCGUAAUUUUUUUUAAGAGUUCAAAUCGAAAAAAAAGAUUGCGACCUCGAUGUUGGAUUAAAAUUUAUUUUUGGUGUAGAAGCUAAAUUUAUUGGGUCUGUUCGACCUUUAAAAUUUUACAUGAUCUGA